This 463-nucleotide ribosomal RNA is filed under the name uncultured bacterium. Its description in RNAcentral is "partial 16S ribosomal RNA". It matches the Rfam family "Bacterial small subunit ribosomal RNA", at positions 28 to 507 of the family's 1533-position model. The record is from RNAcentral.
GAUGAACGCUGACAGAAUGCUUAACACAUGCAAGUCUUUGGCGAAGCUGUGCUUGCACAGCCUAGCCAAGGCGGACGGGUGAGUAACGCGUAAGGAACUUGCCCUGCAGUCAGGGAUAACAGACGGAAACGACUGAUAAGACCUGGUAAAGUCAGGCGGACUCAUGUCCAGCCUGAUGAAAAGAGAUGCUGCAGGAGAGCCUUGCGUCCUAUUAGCUUGUUGGUGGGGUAACGGCCCACCAAGGCGAUGAUAGGUAGCCGGCCUGAGAGGGUGGACGGCCACAAGGGGACUGAGAUACGGCCCUUACUCCUACGGGAGGCAGCAGUGGGGAAUAUUGGACAAUGGGGGCAACCCUGAUCCAGCAAUUCUGUGUGCACGAUGAAGGUUUUCGGAUUGUAAAGUGCUUUCAGCAGGAAAGAAAAAAAUGACGGUACCUGCAGAAGAAGCGACGGCUAAAUACGUG